GAAUAUUAGUCAAUGAUCGAAAGAUUGAUCUAGUUACUUAAAAUGAUGAAAAUUAUAAUAAUAAUAAAAAAAAAUAAAAAUAAUAAUGAAGAAUAUAAAAUCAAUAUAUAUAUAAAAAAUAAUGAUAUAAAAGAUAUAUAUAAGUCUUAACUAAAAUUAGUGCCAGCAGUUGCGGCUAAACUGAGGAGGCGAACGUUAAUCAUUAAUGGCUUAAAGGAUCCGUAGAACGAAUAUAUAAAUAAUAUAUAGAGUUAAAUAAAAUAAAUAAUGUAUAAUUAUAAUGAGAGAUGAAAUGCAAUGAAAAUAAUUAGACAGCGAAAACUGAAGAGAAUAUUUAUAAUUUAACUGACGUUGAGGGAUGAAAGCAUAAGUAAUAAACCGGAUUAGAUACCCGAGUAAUUUAUGCUGUAAACGAUGAAUACUAAAUAAAUAAAUAAAAAUAAAAGCGAAAGUAAAGUAUUCCGCCAGGUGAGUAUAUUUGCAAGAAUGAAAUCCAAGACAAUAGACGGUUACAGGUGUAGGCAGUGGAUUGUGUUAUUUAAU
RNAcentral lists this ribosomal RNA (543 nucleotides) under Brettanomyces anomalus. RNAcentral describes it as "partial small subunit ribosomal RNA". It matches the Rfam family "Bacterial small subunit ribosomal RNA", at positions 359 to 950 of the family's 1533-position model. The record is from RNAcentral. Lineage: Eukaryota; Fungi; Ascomycota; Pichiomycetes; Pichiales; Pichiaceae.